Triticum aestivum (bread wheat) is the source of this 2592-nucleotide long non-coding RNA. RefSeq lists it as uncharacterized. The transcript is spliced from 3 exons. NCBI's taxonomy places the organism in Eukaryota, Viridiplantae, Streptophyta, Magnoliopsida, Poales, Poaceae. The record is from RefSeq and is a predicted model, not a curated record.
CACCUGUAUGUGAAAUAACAAGCGUGGCGUUCUCAUUUAUAGGACAUUUAUUAUUUUCACUUUCAUGCUAGAAUGACUUUUGUUGUGCUAUUUAAAACAACCGUGUUGAUCUCAAUAACACAGGGAUACAUAGAGCUAGCCAGUGCAAGCUUCUGGUUUGGUUGCUGUAAACAUACUAAGGUCCCUACCAUAUGUGAGAAGAAGGAAAUGUUGGUGUUAGCUGAUGCACCACUUUCCUUUCAUGAUGUUAUAGUUUGAACGGUUGCUCAUGGGUUUGUCUCGUGCAGAGACUAGGCGUGGGACUGGUGCUUGGUAGCAGCAGCGAUUCCUUCAGGCAUUUCGAUUCCAGUAACCACAAGUUGUAGGGAAGAUGUAUGUUUCCUACAAAGGGUUUGAGUUUGAGAGGCACAGAAGAAGUUACAAGUGUUGCAGCUUAUUUGGCUUUAUAGUGACAUGUAUCGACAAACAAUUGUUAUAUUCAGUAUGCUAGGGUGUGUCCUAUUUAUCAUGCAGAUUCUAUAUUAGGUGCUCGAUAGAGGUAACAAAAGCUAACAGAGAUCAGAAUAUAUUUUACUUAUAUUUUUGUCUUUCUUUUAGUUCUGUGUAGUCUUUAUUUACCAUGUAAUGAUUAGUUUGAAUGCUUAUAGUGGUGAUACUUUCCCUAUAAAUUUGUUGGGUAGAUUAUAAUUCUGUUACUUGAUUUAGGACAGUAUAUGGUUCUAUGAUACAGGAUUUAGAGGAACAUAUACGGGAUUUAGUUUUUCAGGUCACACUUGUCCCAUAUUCUGUUACUUUCCCUAUUGAUUUUAGCUUGCAAUUGAGUAAGAUGCAGGUUGGGAAUUCUCCCUUGUGUGUCAGAAUCUGAAGUAUUUGACCAUUUGGGUUCACUUCUAUCAUGUGUUGUAUCCUUCCUCUAUUUUAAGAUUUACUAGGCACAUGCAGGUUAGUUGUUGUUUCAAACAUGUCAAUGAAAGGUAAUAAUGUUAAAAUUGGUUCCCCAAGGGCCAAGGUGGUGAUGAUCACUUUGUGAUUCUUUUCCUACUUGUUCUAAAAAUGAUUCUUCUGGGUGAUGUUGAUUUAGGUUUUUGUGGUCGUGUCAUACACCAAUUACCGUCGAGAUGGGUAAUGGUAUGGGAAUGGGGCUCCAAGGAUGUGAAAAUGGUCUGGAAGACAGAGUUAGCAGCGAUAUGUGUCCUCAAGUAAUUUCUUGCCAAAGGUGAUGUGAAGGUUAGCUACUGUGAUCAAGGAAAUAACAUGUAUCUGUGUGGUUUGUUCCUGCUGUUGAUCGGCCAUUGCUGCGUUUAAGGUAUGUUGUGCCCGGUGCUACUUAAUGCUAUAUAAAACCUAUAGCUGUACAUAAAACACCUUGAUAUGCAAAUAACCCAGUUAAAAUAAAUGGGUUGCGCCAUCUAGCAUUACAUGACGACAUGCCAAACACUUUGCCACCUAGGAUAGUCUAUAUUUGUAUUUCAUCCAGUUAUCUCAUAUUUCCAGUAAAAAAACUCUUCGCUUUGGGGUUUUGGAAUAAUCUUCAGGAAGUUGGUGACGAGUUAGUAGAACUUAUAGAAAUGUCGCUUUCAUUAGACAAUGACAUGCCAAAGACGCCAUUGCCUAAGGUAGUCUUUGGACUUAAGCUAUCUCAUAUGUACAAUAACAAGAUUUGUCACUUCAGUUUUUAGAAUAAUCAUUGAUAAGUUGGUUAAGAAUUAGAGCUAAAGUUACGCUCAUGAGUAGUAUUUUUUGUACAAACAUCCAGUUAAUUCUUGAGAUACAAUAGAGACACUAUAUUAGUACUACUUUAGUCAAAUACAUUGUCCACUGGUUGUUGUAGUGAAAUGUCGCUCUAGCUAUUAAUUUACAGAAUUGUAGAAAAUAGCCCCUACGAAAUUACAAAGAGCGAGAAUAAGGAAGCUGGCAAACUUAGUGCUUCAUGGUAUUUCAGUAGAAAGGAAAUAGAAGAGAAUUCUCCGUCUAAGAGGGAUGGCAUUGAUUUAAAGAAAGAGACUUACCUUCGGAAAUCGUAUUGCACUUAUCUACAAGAUUUGGGGAUGCGGCUCAAAGUGUAAUGAGGCGUCAGUGUAGGCCCAAUCUUUUUGUUUGUUGCUUUGAAGAGUGUUGUCAUGUUGUGGAAAGGCAACAUGUGCUUGAUAUGUGGAGUUGGUGUUGAGCCUGGCGGUAGUAGACAGGGAAGGCACCCAUCUCACUUGAUCUUGAGAGUUAAUUCAUAUCUUUUUUUCUUGACCUGAUUGAGUUCCUGUAUAUGCAAGGAUAAAGAAGAAGGGGCAUUGUCGUGGUUGUUGCUUAAGGUGUUGGUCAGGAGCUGAUUGCCGGGACUGAUGACAAGAACGGAGAGCAGGAUGAGUAUGUCAACAUGAUGUUCCUUGAUGUUGGCCUUCUUUUAUAAAGUUCACAUGCAACUCUCCUCCAUGGUUAGAAAAAACUAAUUUAAACAUUUUGUUUCUUUGGUGGUUACUCAUUUCUCUUACCAUUGUUGUAUCAAAACAAUUGUAUUUUCGUUGAUGGCCACUUGGGCUCAUUUUUGAGGAGAAUGAGAUGUGGAAUAAACUACUCUGAAAUGGUUGGUUCCCUUCA